Molecule: unclassified non-coding RNA, 219 nt
Filed under: Russula sp. MGI5
Lineage: Eukaryota; Fungi; Basidiomycota; Agaricomycetes; Russulales; Russulaceae
Description: partial internal transcibed spacer 2
Source: RNAcentral
CUUCAAAACCCCUUUGUGGGAUUUUGGACUUGGAGGUCUAAUGCUUGCCUUUGAUUUCAAAAGCGAGCUCCUCUCAAAUAAAUUAGUGAGGUCUGCUUUGCUGGUCCUUGACGUGAUAAGAUGUUUCUACGUUUUGGAUUUGGCACCGUCGCUCGCUUCUAACCGUCUCAUGGACGACCGAGGGCGCUCCGGUCACCGCCAUCAACGUUGGCGGGAGGC